This 67-nucleotide transfer RNA is filed under the name Phascolosoma scolops. RNAcentral describes it as "tRNA-Gln". Lineage: Eukaryota; Metazoa; Annelida; Sipuncula; Phascolosomatiformes; Phascolosomatidae. The record is from RNAcentral.
UAUAAGGAAGUGUUUUGGCACAUAGAACUUUGACUUCUAAAGAAAAGGCUCAUCCCUUUCCUUAUAA